RNAcentral lists this ribosomal RNA (253 nucleotides) under uncultured bacterium. RNAcentral describes it as "partial 16S ribosomal RNA". It matches the Rfam family "Bacterial small subunit ribosomal RNA", at positions 524 to 776 of the family's 1533-position model. The record is from RNAcentral.
UACGUAGGGCGCAAGCGUUUGUCCGGAAUUAUUGGGCGUAAAGAGCUCGUAGGCGGUCUGUCGCGUCGGAUGUGAAAGCCCGGGGCUUAACCCCGGGUCUGCAUUCGAUACGGGCAGACUAGAGUGUGGUAGGGGAGAUCGGAAUUCCUGGUGUAGCGGUGAAAUGCGCAGAUAUCAGGAGGAACACCGGUGGCGAAGGCGGGUCUCUGGGCCAUACUGACGCUGAGGAGCGAAAGCGUGGGGAGCGAACAGG